RNAcentral lists this ribosomal RNA (429 nucleotides) under Fusobacteriota bacterium. Its description in RNAcentral is "Fusobacteria bacterium partial 16S ribosomal RNA". It matches the Rfam family "Bacterial small subunit ribosomal RNA", at positions 355 to 776 of the family's 1533-position model. The record is from RNAcentral. Lineage: Bacteria; Fusobacteriati; Fusobacteriota.
UGGGGAAUAUUGCACAAUGGGCGCAAGCCUGAUGCAGCCAUGCCGCGUGUAUGAAGAAGGCCUUCGGGUUGUAAAGUACUUUCAGCGGGGAGGAAGGGAGUAAAGUUAAUGCCUUUGCUCAUUGACGUUACCCGCAGCAGAAGCCCCGGCUAACACCGUGCCAGCAGCCGCGGUAAUACGGAGGGUGCAAUCGUUAAUCGGAAUUACUGGGCGUAAAGCGAACGCAGGCGGUUUGUUAAGUCAGAUGUGAAAUCGACGGGCUCAACCUGGGAACUGCAUCUGAUACUGGCAAGCUUGAGUCUCGUAGAGGGGGGUAGAAUUCCAGGUGUAGCGGUGAAAUGCGUAGAGAUCGGGAGGAAUACCGGUGGCGAAGGCGGCCCCCUGGACGAAAACUGACGCUCAGGUGCGAAAGCGUGGGGAGCAAACAGG